Molecule: long non-coding RNA, 400 nt
Filed under: Vulpes vulpes (red fox)
Lineage: Eukaryota; Metazoa; Chordata; Mammalia; Carnivora; Canidae
Description: lncRNA (ENSVVUG00000008137.1)
Source: RNAcentral
CCACCCUCCACAACGCCCCGCUGGCUCCCAGCUUGGAGAAGCGGCCCCAGCGGGUUACAGGGUCGCGGUCCACACCGAGGGCGCUCGGCCGCACCCACGGGAGCACGAGAAGGCAGAGGAGCGUGAGAAGCCCACAUGUGAAUCCAAGACGGAAGGUUCCAGAAAGGAUGAGGGACGGGGCCCAGCCGUCAGGACUAAGCAUCCUCCAGCACAGAAGUUUCCAGAAGGAUGACGACACUGCCUUUGACAGAGGGAACAUGAGACUGGAGCUGGGACACGGCGGACGAGGAGUCACACACCGGCAGUCUGGCCUCAGAGCACGUGCUCUCUUCGCGGAGCCACGGAGGCCCCCGCCUGACCCAGCUCCUUCUUAACCACGGUGGACUCAUCCCCAAUCGCU